Molecule: unclassified non-coding RNA, 1239 nt
Filed under: Hevea brasiliensis (rubber tree)
Lineage: Eukaryota; Viridiplantae; Streptophyta; Magnoliopsida; Malpighiales; Euphorbiaceae
Source: RNAcentral
GGUAGGGGAAUUCAGUGAUAUGAGUGUGACAGCUAAUCGCAUGCUUCAAGUUCAGCGUGAUUUCAACGAAGGAGUCAUCAUGUGAAUUGUGAAGCAUGUCUACCGAGAGAAAUGCUAACUUGCAGUUCUGCUUUUUGUAUUGAGCCUUCACCAAUGUAUAUUAUGGUGGGCCUCAUUGUGGGUCCUGCAUGGGGACCGCUUAAUGAUCGGCUGCAAUGGCAAAUUGGCAACGUGCAUGGAUGCAUCAAGCAGUGAUUUUCUGCCUAAAUAUCGCAUUACUUUUGUUGCCCAUUCAACUAGCUUGUUUAAAAUCCUUAUAUUUAUUAGCAUUUUAUAGGAUUGAAUGGGAAGUUGAUGUCUCAAUUCCUGGUUUAUUAUUAUUAUUACUUCUCUCAGUUUAGGGUUCCUUUCCCAUUGCGUACUAUGUUGACCAUUGUUUGGCAUGAGUACAUGGCAUGUUUGGUUGUUGGUUAGAGUGGCAGGCAGUAUUGCUGUUUCAGCUGCUAAUACCAAUAUUAGUAUUUAGUGAAUGAUCUGAAAUUGAUUUGUUGUCUGCAAUCUUUUUAGCUCAUUUCUGUAGGAAAAGCAUAUCUCUUAAACAUGUACUCCUCAAAGCUAUUAUAUUAACCACCAUUGCAUUUGUCUGUAAAUAAUUCUCAAACUUAAUACUGUUUGCUGGUGUUGCUCAUCUUUUUAUCCUUCAUCAGUCCCUGUCCCUGUUAUAACUUUUUGAAUGAGAAUUUCCAGUCCAGAUUUACUUAUACAUGCUCACAUUGCAACUUAGGCUGCAUUUAUUUUCCUGAAUAAUGUUUAUUGGUGUUUCGGCCUUUGGGGUGCUUAGGAAAAUCAUUUAAUGGAAAAACUAAGUUAUUUUAUUUUCAAGGAAAAUGACUCUCUCUUUGCCGUUGACAUCCAUAUUUUACUAUUUUUGUUUAAUUUUUCUCAUAUUCAUUAAUAAAUCAAAAAAUAUGAAGUUUAUGCAGGUUUAAAUAUUUUCAUAGUCAUGAAAAGAAAUUUAUAUUCUCCAAUUUAUUCCAAAUGCCAACAAUUAAUUUCCAGUUGAUUUUCUGUAUGGAAACCAAACAAAAAAAAUUAUUUUCUCAGUUGAUUUUCUGUAUGGAAACCAAACAAAAAAAAUUAUUUUCUUAGAAAAUGUUCUCUUUGGAAAAUAUUUUUCACAAACAAGUUAAUUUCCGUGAAACAUAUUGAGCUUAGAAGCAUAGUUAUUAAAGGCUCAAG